ACCCAACUGAUGAGUCCCAAAUAGGACGAAAUGCGCGUCCUGGAU
This 45-nucleotide non-coding RNA is filed under the name Schistosoma mansoni. The record is from RNAcentral. Lineage: Eukaryota; Metazoa; Platyhelminthes; Trematoda; Strigeidida; Schistosomatidae.